RNAcentral lists this ribosomal RNA (408 nucleotides) under uncultured bacterium. RNAcentral's name for it is "partial 16S ribosomal RNA". It matches the Rfam family "Bacterial small subunit ribosomal RNA", at positions 28 to 526 of the family's 1533-position model. The record is from RNAcentral.
GACGAACGCUGGCGGCGUGCUUAACACAUGCAAGUCGAACGAAGUGGCGAACGGGUGAGUAACGCGUAGUUAACCUGCCCUUCAGGAGGGAACAACAGUUGGAAACGACUCCUAAUACCGCAAACUGAAGGGGGAGAUUUCGUCUGAUUGGCUAGUUGGAGGGGUAACGGCCCACCAAGGCGAUGAUAAGUAGCCGGGCUGAGAGGAGGAACGGCCACAUUGGGACGGAGAAACGGCCCAGACCCCUACGGGAGGCAGCAGUGGGGAAUCUUCCGCAAUGGACGAAAGUUUGACGGAGCAACGCCGCGUGAGUGAUGACGGCCUUCGGGUUGUAAAGCUCUGUUAAUCGGGACGCGGUACCGGAAUAGAAAGCCACGGCUAACUACGUGCCAGCAGCCGCGGUAAUAC